RNAcentral lists this ribosomal RNA (506 nucleotides) under uncultured bacterium. Its description in RNAcentral is "partial 16S ribosomal RNA". It matches the Rfam family "Bacterial small subunit ribosomal RNA", at positions 28 to 523 of the family's 1533-position model. The record is from RNAcentral.
GAUGAACGCUAGCUACAGGCUUAACACAUGCAAGUCGAGGGGUAACGAGAGGAAAGCUUGCUUUCCUUGUCGACGACCGGCGCACGGGUGAGUAACGCGUAUCCAACCUGCCCCCAACUAGGGAAUAACCUUGCGAAAGUAAGACUAAUACCCUAUAAUUUCCUCAGAUGUCAUCUGACGAGGAAUAAAGAUUUAUCGGUUGUGGAUGGGGAUGCGUCUGAUUAGCUGGUUGGCGGGGUAACGGGCCACCAAGGCAACGAUCAGUAGGGGUUCUGAGAGGAAGGGCCCCCACAUUGGAACUGAGACACGGUCCAAACUCCGACGGGAGGCAGCAGUGAGGAAUAUUGGUCAAUGGGCGGAAGCCUGAACCAGCCAAGUAGCGUGCAGGAUGACGGCCCUAUGGGUUGUAAACUGCUUUUAUACAGGAAUAAAGUUAGCCACGUGUGGUUAUUUGUAGGUACUGUAUGAAUAAGGACCGGCUAAUUCCGUGCCAGCAGCCGCGGUAA